GACAGCGGCAAGGAAAUGAACACAAAGAGCAUGUUGCCAUAUGGCCACACCAUGCGGUAGAGGGUUAAACAUCUACACAAGCCCAU
Sinocyclocheilus grahami is the source of this 86-nucleotide long non-coding RNA. RefSeq lists it as uncharacterized. The transcript has 3 exons. NCBI's taxonomy places the organism in Eukaryota, Metazoa, Chordata, Actinopteri, Cypriniformes, Cyprinidae. The record is from RefSeq and is a predicted model, not a curated record.